CCUACGGGUGGCUGCAGUGGGGAAUAUUGGACAAUGGGGGCAACCCUGAUCCAGCCAUGCCGCGUGUGUGAAGAAGGCCCUCGGGUUGUAAAGCACUUUCAGUGAGGAAGAACGCCUGGUGGUUAAUACCCAUCAGGAAAGACAUCACUCACAGAAGAAGCACCGGCUAACUCCGUGCCAGCAGCCGCGGUAAUACGGAGGGUGCGAGCGUUAAUCGGAAUUACUGGGCGUAAAGCGCGCGUAGGUGGCUUGAUAAGCCGGUUGUGAAAGCCCCGGGCUCAACCUGGGAACGGCAUCCGGAACUGUCAAGCUAGAGUGCAGGAGAGGAAGGUAGAAUUCCCGGUGUAGCGGUGAAAUGCGUAGAGAUCAGGAGGAAUACCAGUGGCGAAGGCGGCCUUCUGGACUGAAACUGACACUGAGGUGCGAAAGCGUGGGUAGCAAACAGGAUUAGAUACCCCUGUAGUC
Molecule: ribosomal RNA, 465 nt
Filed under: Vreelandella stevensii
Lineage: Bacteria; Pseudomonadati; Pseudomonadota; Gammaproteobacteria; Oceanospirillales; Halomonadaceae
Description: partial 16S ribosomal RNA
Rfam family: Bacterial small subunit ribosomal RNA
Source: RNAcentral